UACGGAGGGUGCAAGCGUUAAUCGGAAUUACUGGGCGUAAAGCGCACGCAGGUGGCUGAGUCAGUCGAUUGUGAAAGCCCUGGGCUUAACCUGGGAAUUGCAGUCGAUACUACUCAGCUAGAGUAUGGGAGAGGGCAGUGGAAUCCCGGUGUAGCGGUGAAAUGCGUAGAUAUCGGGAGGAACAUCAGUGGCGAAGGCGGCUGCCUGGCCCAAUCUG
Molecule: ribosomal RNA, 217 nt
Filed under: uncultured bacterium
Lineage: Bacteria
Description: partial 16S ribosomal RNA
Rfam family: Bacterial small subunit ribosomal RNA
Source: RNAcentral